AUGCACGCUGGCGGCGUGCCUCAUACAUGCAAGUCGAGCGCACGGACGAGAAGCUUGCUUUUCUGAUGUUAGCGGCGGACGGGUGAGUAACACGUGGAUAACCUACCUAUAAGACUGGGAUAACUUCGGGAAACCGGAGCUAAUACCGGAUAAUAUUUUGAACCGCAUGGUUCAAAAGUGAAAGACGGUCUUGCUGUCACUUAUAGAUGGAUCCGCGCUGCAUUAGCUAGUUGGUAAGGUAACGGCUUACCAAGGCAACGAUGCAUAGCCGACCUGAGAGGGUGAUCGGCCACACUGGAACUGAGACACGGUCCAGACUCCUACGGGAGGCAGCAGUAGGGAAUCUUCCGCAAUGGGCGAAAGCCUGACGGGGCAACGCCGCGUGAGUGAUGAAGGUCUUCGGAUCGUAAAACUCUGUUAUUAGGGAAGAACAUAUGUGUAAGUAACUGUGCACAUCUUGACGGUACCUAAUCAGAAAGCCACGGCUAACUACGUG
This 496-nucleotide ribosomal RNA is filed under the name uncultured bacterium. RNAcentral's name for it is "partial 16S ribosomal RNA". It matches the Rfam family "Bacterial small subunit ribosomal RNA", at positions 29 to 507 of the family's 1533-position model. The record is from RNAcentral.